UAGGGAAUAUUGGACAAUGGAGGCAACCCUGAUCCAGCCAUGCCGCGUGAGUGAAGAAGGCCCUCGGGUUGUAAAGCUCUUUUGUCCGGAAAGAAAAGCUUCGGGUUAAUACCCCGGGGUUCUGACGGUACCGGAAGAAUAAGCACCGGCUAACUUCGUGCCAGCAGCCGCGGUAAUACGCAGGGUGCAAGCGUUACUCGGAAUUACUGGGCGUAAAGCGUGCGUAGGUGGUUGUUUGAGUCUGAUGUGAAAGCCCUGGGCUCAACCUGGGAAUGGCAGUGGAAACUGGGCAGCUAGAGUGCGGUAGAGGGUAGUGGAAUUCCCGGUGUAGCAGUGAAAUGCGUAGAGAUCGGGAGGAACAGCUGUGGCGAAGGCGACUGCCUGGACCAGCACUGACACUGAGGCACGAAAGCGUGGGGAGCAAACA
Molecule: ribosomal RNA, 427 nt
Filed under: uncultured bacterium
Lineage: Bacteria
Description: bacterial SSU rRNA
Rfam family: Bacterial small subunit ribosomal RNA
Source: RNAcentral